RNAcentral lists this ribosomal RNA (1517 nucleotides) under Pilophorus pleiku. RNAcentral describes it as "SSU rRNA". It matches the Rfam family "Eukaryotic small subunit ribosomal RNA", at positions 138 to 1752 of the family's 1831-position model. The record is from RNAcentral. Lineage: Eukaryota; Metazoa; Arthropoda; Insecta; Hemiptera; Miridae.
UUUGGAUAACUGUGGUAAUCCUAGAGCUAAUACAUGCAAUCAAGUCCCGACCAGUUCCACUGGGAAGGACGCUUUUAUUAGAUCAAGACCAAUCGCCCGGCUUCGGUCGGGCGUCGCCUUGGUGACUCUAGGUAACACAUCAGAUCGCACGGUCUCGCACCGGCGACUCAUCCUUCAAAUGCCUGACUUAUCAACUGACGAUGGUAGACUCCAUGUCUACCAUGGUGAUAACGGGUAACGGGGAAUCAGGGUUCGAUUCCGGAGAGGGAGCCUGAGAAACGGCUACCACAUCCAAGGAAGGCAGCAGGCACGCAAAUUACCCACUCCCGGCACGGGGAGGUAGUGACAAAAAAUAACGAUACGGGACUCAAUUGAGGCCCCGUAAUCGGAAUGAGUACACUUUAAAUCCUUUAACAAGGAUCCAUUGGAGGGCAAGUCAGGUGCCAGCAGCCGCGGUAAUUCCUGCUCCAAUAGCGUAUAUUAAAGUUGUUGCGGUUAAAAAGCUCGUAGUUGGUUCUGCGUGCCACGCUGUCGGUUCGCCGCCUGCCGGUGCUACUGGCAUGUCGUGGCAUGUCCUGUCGGUGGGUGUUCGGGGCCCCGUGCGGGCGGCAGGAGGCCGGGUGCAAACCCGUGCUCCUCUCUGCACGUCGGCGGGUUCACUCCGGCUCCCUACUAUCCUACCUAGGUGCUCUUCACCGAGUGUCGAGGUAGGCCGACACGUUUACUUUGAACAAAUCAGAGUGCUUAAAGCAGGCUGAAAAAUUCUGCCUGAAUGAUGGCGCAUGGAAUAAUAAAACAGGACCUUGGUUCUAUUUUGUUGGUUCUUAGGAACACAAGGUAAUGAUCAAUAAGGACAGGCGGGGGCAUUCGUAUUGCGCCGGGAAACCAAAGCUUUUGGGUUCCGGGGGAAGUAUGGUUGCAAAGCUGAAACUUAAAGGAAUUGACGGAAGGGCACCACCAGGAGUGGAGCCUGCGGCUUAAUUUGACUCAACACGGGAAACCUCACCAGGUCAGGACAUUGUAAGGAUUGACAGAUUGAUAGCUCUUUCUUGAUUCAGUGGGUAGUGGUGCAUGGCCGUUCUUAGUUGGUGGAUCGAUUUGUCUGGUUAAUUCCGAUAACGAACGAGACUCUAGCCUAUUAACUAGACGAUCCGAGAGCCCACGUCUCUCGCGACAAUCACUCUUCUUAAGGGGACAGGCGGCUUAUAGUCGCACGAGAUUGAGCAAUAACAGGUCUGUGAUGCCCUUAGAUGUCCUGGGCCGCACGCGCGCUACAAUGAAAGAAUCAGCGUGUGUCUCCCUGCCCGAGAGGGCUGGGUAAUCCGCUGAACCUCUUUCGUGCUUGGGAUUGUAGCUUGCAAUUGUUCUUCAUGAACGAGGAAUUCCCAGUAAGCGCGAGUCAUAAGCUCGCGUUGAUUACGUCCCUGCCCUUUGUACACACCGCCCGUCGCUACUACCGAUUGAAUGAUUUAGUGAGGUCUUCGGACCGGCGGGAAAUCCCUAUCGCUUCGGCGGUA